UGACAGCCCCGACCGCCAGUCACGUUUCAGGAUCAAAAUUGUGACAGCCCCGUAGGCCGAUCAUGUUGCAGGUUCUUAGUUUUACUGCCCAGCUGGCCAAUCAUGUUUCAGGAUCCAAGUUUGGUUGAUUUUUCAAAAGGGAAAAGGGCGAAAGAAAUUAAAAGGUCAACAUUGUGUAGACAAUACAACCAGGUUAUUGUGCAUACAGAUGGUAUUGAUGUACAGAAGUCAUAUGCCAUGACGUUCCUACCAUAUCUUUACAUGUUUCCUUGGCGAAUUUCCAUGAGCCAUGUUUGGGUUCAGUGGAGUGAAACUUACUUCAGAGGAACCCCCCCCGACAGCCCUGACCCUUUGAUCCGACCCUGGCAGAUGAAUUCACCUUUCAGCAGGACAGUAACCUAAAACACAAGGCCAAAUCUGCACUGGAGUUGCUUACCAAGAAGUGGUAAGAGUUGCCGAGUUACAGUUUUGACUUAAAUCUGCUUGAAAAUCUAUGGCAAGACUUGCAAAUAUUGUACAACCCAGGUUUGCAAAGCUCUUAGAGACUUAACCAGAAAGACUCACAGCUGUAAUCACUGCCAAAGGUGAUUCUAACAUGUAUUGACUCAGGGGUGUGAAUACUUAUGUAAAUGAGAUACUUCUGUAUUUAAUUUUCAAUAAGUUUGCUUAUUGAUACUUAAAUGGAAGAAGUUUGGAACCACCAAGAUUCUUCCUAGAGUUGGCCAAACUGAGCAAUCGGGGGAGAAGGGCCUUUAUUCAGGGAGGUGACCAAGAACCCGAUUUUUCACUAAGACAGACCUCCAGAGUUCCUCUGUGGAGAUGGGAAAACCUUCCAGAAGGACAACCAUCUCUGCAGCACUCCACCAAUCAAACCUUUAUGGUAGAGCGGCUAGACGGAAACCACUCCUCUGUAAAAGGCACAUGACAGCCCACUCUGAGUUUGCGAAAAGGCACCUAAAGGACUCUCAGACCAUGAGAAAUAAGAUUAUCUGGUCUGAUAAAACCAAGAUUGAACUCUUUAGCCUGAAUGCAAAAGUGUCACGUCUAGAGGAAACAUCCCUACGGUGAAGCAUGGUGGUGGCAGCAUCAUGCUGUGGGGUUGUUUUUCAGAGGCAGGGACUGGGAGACUAGUGAGGAUCAAGAGAAAGAUGAACAGAGUGAAGUACAGAGAGAUCCUUGAUGAAAACCUGCUCAGGACCUCAGACUGGGGCGAUGGUUCACCUUCCAACAUGACAACAACCCUACGCACACAGCCAAUACGACCGAGGAGUGGCUUCGGGACAAGUCUCUGAAUGUCCUUGAGUUGCCCUGCCAGAGACCAUACUGGAACCUGAUCGAACAUCUCUGGAGAGACCUGAGAAUAGCUGUGCAGCGACGCUCCCCAUCCAACCUGACAGCGCUUGAGAUGAUCUGCAGAGAAGAAUGGGAGAAACUCCGCAAAUAUAGGUGUGCCAAUCUUGUAGCGUCAUACCCAACAGGACUUGAGGCUGUAAUCACUGACAAAGGUGCUUCAACAAAUUACUGAGUAAAGGGUCUGAAUACUUAUGUAAAUGUAAUAUUUAAAUUUAAAAAAUUAAAAAUCUGUUUUUCCUUUGUCA
Molecule: long non-coding RNA, 1598 nt
Organism: Oncorhynchus masou masou (cherry salmon)
Lineage: Eukaryota; Metazoa; Chordata; Actinopteri; Salmoniformes; Salmonidae
Exons: 2
Source: RefSeq, a predicted model, not a curated record